GGGCGGUUAGCUCAGCGGUAGAGCACUUGCUCGACACGCAAGGGGUCACAAGUUCAAUCCUUGUACCGCCUG
This 72-nucleotide transfer RNA is filed under the name Alphaproteobacteria bacterium. Its description in RNAcentral is "tRNA-Val". It matches the Rfam family "tRNA". From Rfam's summary of the family: Transfer RNA (tRNA) molecules are approximately 80 nucleotides in length. Lineage: Bacteria; Pseudomonadati; Pseudomonadota; Alphaproteobacteria. The record is from RNAcentral. RNAcentral also lists the same sequence under 1 other name.